RNAcentral lists this ribosomal RNA (459 nucleotides) under uncultured bacterium. Its description in RNAcentral is "partial 16S ribosomal RNA". It matches the Rfam family "Bacterial small subunit ribosomal RNA", at positions 338 to 795 of the family's 1533-position model. The record is from RNAcentral.
CCUACGGGUGGCAGCAGUGAGGAAUAUUGGUCAAUGGCCGGAAGGCUGAACCAGCCAAGCCGCGUGAGGGAGGAAGGCGCAGAGCGUCGCAGACCUCUGUUGCCGGGGGACAAAAGGCCGGACUCGUCCGGUCCUGAGGGUACCCGGAGAAAAAGCAUCGGCUAACCCCGUGCCAGCAGCCGCGGUAAUACGGAGGAUGCGAGCGUUAUCCGGAUUCAUUGGGUUUCAAGGGUGCGCAGGCGGGCCUUUAAGCCGGCGGGGAAAUCGCGGGGCUCACCCCCGCCGAGCCGUCGGAACUGGGGGCCUUUCGUGCGGCGGAGGCAUGCGGAAUGCGCGGUGUAGCGGUGACCUGCAUAGAUAUCGCGCAGAACCCCGAUUGCGAAGGCAGCGUGCCGUGCCGCCCCUGACGCUGAGGCACGAAAGCGCGGGGAUCGAACAGGAUUAGAUACCCGGGUAGUC